RNAcentral lists this unclassified non-coding RNA (286 nucleotides) under uncultured Helotiales. RNAcentral's name for it is "sequence contains ITS1". The stretch from base 1 to 105 matches the Rfam family "5.8S ribosomal RNA", at positions 50 to 154 of the family's 154-position model. The record is from RNAcentral. Lineage: Eukaryota; Fungi; Ascomycota; Leotiomycetes; Helotiales.
GAAAUGCGAUAAGUAAUGUGAAUUGCAGAAUUCAGUGAAUCAUCGAAUCUUUGAACGCACAUUGCGCCCCCCGGUAUUCCGAGGGGCAUGCCUGUUCGAGCGUCAUUAUAGCCUAUCCAGCCCUGCUGGGUCCUGGGCCUGCCGGCUGGCGGGCCCCAAAGCUAGUGGCGGUGCGACCAGGUGCCGGAGCGUAGUACAACCCCUCGCUACCGGCCCUGGGCGGCGCCCGCCAGCGACCCCUCUCACGGUUGACCUCGGAUCAGGUAGGGAUACCCGCUGAACUUAA